AAUAAAGUGCCUGAUUAAAGGGUUGUCUUGAUAGGGCAAAUAAUGUGCAUAUUCCACCUUUAUUA
Molecule: transfer RNA, 65 nt
Filed under: Xyleborus sp. BMNH 1040067
Lineage: Eukaryota; Metazoa; Arthropoda; Insecta; Coleoptera; Curculionidae
Description: tRNA-Ile
Source: RNAcentral